GACGAACGCUGGCGGCGUGCUUAACACAUGCAAGUCGAACGGAAAGGCCCUGCUUUUGUGGGGUGCUCGAGUGGCGAACGGGUGAGUAACACGUGAGUAACCUGCCCUUGACUUUGGGAUAACUUCAGGAAACUGGGGCUAAUACCGGAUCGGAGCUCCUGCUGCAUGGUGGGGGUUGGAAAGUUUCGGCGGUUGGGGAUGGACUCGCGGCUUAUCAGCUUGUUGGUGGGGUAGUGGCUUACCAAGGCUUUGACGGGUAGCCGGCCUGAGAGGGUGACCGGCCACAUUGGGACUGAGAUACGGCCCAGACUCCUACGGGAGGCAGCAGUGGGGAAUAUUGCACAAUGGGCGGAAGCCUGAGGCAGCAACGCCGCGUGCGGGAUGACGGCCUUCGGGUUGUAAACCGCUUUCGCCUGUGACGAAGCGUGAGUGACGGUAAUGGGUAAAGAAGCACCGGCUAACUACGUG
Molecule: ribosomal RNA, 468 nt
Filed under: uncultured bacterium
Lineage: Bacteria
Description: partial 16S ribosomal RNA
Rfam family: Bacterial small subunit ribosomal RNA
Source: RNAcentral